ACAUGGAACGGUCUGAACGGAAAGCCAAGGCAAGGCUGGGAAAGCUUCAGCGGAGAAUUUCAGAAACCAGAGAAGCGAACCGUCAAGCAGCAAUGAACAACGCUCGGAUCCAACUUUACAUUGAUGCUAUCCUUCAUCAUUUGGGAUGGUAAUUGAAUUGUUUCUAUUAGUUAUUGAGUUUAUAUUCAAUAUACUGUUAACGUAUGAAUUAUAUAAUCUUUUAGUAAACUUAGACUAUAUGAUAUGUUCUUUUAUUAAUGAGAAAGUUUUUAUGUAUUUAUUUUUAAAAUUUGUAAAAAUUUAUGCUUAUUUGUUUAUGAAUUAUUAUUAAAAGUAUAUACACUAACAAGUUAUCAAAUUAUAAUUUUUAACUUAAUUUAUAUAGUAAAAAAAUUAAUUUUUAUAGACUUGAUUUUUGGUAUUUAUUAUGGAAUCUUCACGCAAUUUAAUUAUAGUUAUACCAUUUUAAUUCAUUAUAAAUAAAAAAAUUAUUUCCAAAUAUUCAAAAUGGAUAAAUCUGAUUUUUUAUUAAUAAAUUUGAUAUUAAUUCAAAUUUGAGAAGUAUAAUUAAACCACAUCAAAAUUGUUCAUGAAAUCUAGUUAAUUGAUUAGAACUCUUGAAAAACGUUUUAACUAUAUGAUUUUAUUUUUCAUUUUAUCAUUUGCAGAUUAAAUUUUCUUGAUGAAAAUUGCUUGGGUAUAAACGAUUACCGUCCGUUCACACCGCCUUCCACCAGCGAGAUAUGAUUGUCUUUACCGUUGAUUUUUUUUUGUAAUAUACACAUCCCUAUCCAUAUAGGUAUUUCGAAUUCGUCUUCAUCUCAAUUUGUGUAUAUUUAAUAGGUAAAAAUAAUCAUUGAUAUGUAUUUUGUUUGAAAAAAUAAAAAAGUAAAAAG
RNAcentral lists this long non-coding RNA (896 nucleotides) under Durio zibethinus. Its description in RNAcentral is "long non-coding RNA (DZIB_LNC001357)". The record is from RNAcentral. Lineage: Eukaryota; Viridiplantae; Streptophyta; Magnoliopsida; Malvales; Malvaceae.